UCUGUGGUAGAGCUCUGUGGUAGAGCUCUUGCCUGGCAUGCUAUAAGGCCCUGGGUUCGAUUCCCAGCACUGAA
RNAcentral lists this transfer RNA (74 nucleotides) under Marmota monax (woodchuck). RNAcentral describes it as "tRNA.Ala". The stretch from base 11 to 67 matches the Rfam family "tRNA", at positions 9 to 63 of the family's 71-position model. Rfam says of the family: Transfer RNA (tRNA) molecules are approximately 80 nucleotides in length. Lineage: Eukaryota; Metazoa; Chordata; Mammalia; Rodentia; Sciuridae. The record is from RNAcentral.